This 212-nucleotide unclassified non-coding RNA is filed under the name fungal sp. RNAcentral's name for it is "partial internal transcribed spacer region". The stretch from base 1 to 46 matches the Rfam family "Eukaryotic small subunit ribosomal RNA", at positions 1786 to 1831 of the family's 1831-position model. The record is from RNAcentral. Lineage: Eukaryota; Fungi.
AAGUCGUAACAAGGUUUCCGUAGGUGAACCUGCGGAAGGAUCAUUAUCGUGGGGAUUCGUCCCUAUCGAGAUAGCACCCUUUGUCUAUGAGUACCUUCUGUUUCCUCGGCGGGCUUGCCCGCCAACGGGGACCACAUAAACCCUUUGUAAUAGCAGUAACUUCUGAUAACAAACAAAUAUUAAAACUUUCAACAACGGAUCUCUUGGUUCUG